This 376-nucleotide unclassified non-coding RNA is filed under the name uncultured Gammaproteobacteria bacterium. RNAcentral describes it as "contains 16S-23S intergenic spacer region". Lineage: Bacteria; Pseudomonadati; Pseudomonadota; Gammaproteobacteria. The record is from RNAcentral.
UCCGGUUUGUCACCGGCAGUCUCAUUAGAGUGCCCAACUAAAUGUAGCAACUAAUGACAAGGGUUGCGCUCGUUGCGGGACUUAACCCAACAUCUCACGACACGAGCCGACGACAGCCAUGCAGCACCUGUGUCCAGGCUCCCUUUCGGGCACACUCGCCUCUCAGCGAGCUCCCUGGCAUGUCAAGGGUAGGUAAGGUUCUUCGCGUUGCAUCGAAUUAAUCCACAUCAUCCACCGCUUGUGCGGGUCCCCGUCAAUUCCUUUGAGUUUUAACCUUGCGGCCGUACUCCCCAGGCGGUCGACUUCACGCGUUAGCUUCGGUACCAAGGAAUCGCUUCCCCAACACCCAGUCGACAUCGUUUAGGGCGUGGACUAC